Paramuricea clavata is the source of this 1000-nucleotide non-coding RNA. The record is from the annotation of a GenBank genome assembly. Lineage: Eukaryota; Metazoa; Cnidaria; Anthozoa; Malacalcyonacea; Plexauridae.
AGUGUGACCCUCGUCUACCGCGUGGAAUCGGAGAGAAAAUUAUUUUACGUCAAGUGGCCAAAUCUCUAGGACUGACAGGUUCAAGUGAGUUACCCAAAAGAGCAAUCCAAUUUGGAUCAAGAAUUGCAAAACUGGAAAGUUCCAGCGAGAAAGGCAAUGAAAAGUGCAGCAGAUUUUGAUAUGAAAUCAAGAUAUAACAACAGGAGAUUUUGUUUUUACACUAGUAAGUACUAAGUUCUGUAGAAAAAAGGCUUAUAGUUACUGCAUGUCCACCUCGUACACUGAUUACAGCUAUUUUAUUUAUUUCAUAUUUUAGGAAUUUUAAUUAUUUCUGUUUAAUAGACUUUUUAUGUUAUUAACUACUAAGAAUAAGGCUUAAGAGUUAAGUAAGCUCUGAAACGUCGUUUUUACUAAAAAAAUGUUACAGUGUGUCUACUGUAUACGUGGGGCCAUUCACACAACACUAACCAAUCACAUUUCAGGACAAAAAUUAAAAAAUCAAUAAGCAGCGCAUUGGCUGAAUCAGCAUUCCAUGCUUUAUUUUGAUUGGCGAGUCGUAGUUUGAUUGGAUUUCUUUGUUUUUGUUCUGCAAUGAAGAGCAACGAAAUACAUCUUAAAUCUUGGGUUUACCACCAAUGUCUCGUACAUAACUAGAUUACAUCAACUGGAGUUACUAUACCAAUAACUUAUUGGCAUGAAUAUUUGGACAUGGUUUUACUCUAUAAGUUAAUUAACAACUAUACCUAUGUUGACGAGAGUGCUCUACCAAUAAUAGCGGAAUCUGGAAAAACCAGACGUGAAACCAACGAAAACGUGAUUAGAUUUGUAAUACCCUUUGCUAAAACUGUAACAUACCAGUCUUCAUAUCUCAUUAGAGCGUGCAAAACGUCGAACGUUUUAAAUAGUGACCUCCGUUAAUAGAGAUAUUGGGCUGGAAGCUUUCAAAUCUGGACUAAAGACGUAGUACAAAAACGCGCUAUCCAAUAUUUAUAAUUAUGAC